UGCAAGUCGAACGCCCCGCAAGGGGAGUGGCAGACGGGUGAGUAACGCGUGGGAACAUACCCUUUCCUGCGGAAUAGCUCCGGGAAACUGGAAUUAAUACCGCAUACGCCCUACGGGGGAAAGAUUUAUCGGGGAAGGAUUGGCCCGCGUUGGAUUAGCUAGUUGGUGGGGUAAAGGCCUACCAAGGCGACGAUCCAUAGCUGGUCUGAGAGGAUGAUCAGCCACACUGGAACUGAGACACGGUCCAG
Molecule: ribosomal RNA, 248 nt
Filed under: uncultured Hyphomicrobiales bacterium
Lineage: Bacteria; Pseudomonadati; Pseudomonadota; Alphaproteobacteria; Hyphomicrobiales
Description: uncultured Rhizobiales bacterium partial 16S ribosomal RNA
Rfam family: Bacterial small subunit ribosomal RNA
Source: RNAcentral